CAUGAGUAGGCUAGCAAAAGGAAAUUUGUGAAACCAACAAAUGAAGAGCAAGGGGAAGAACCUAAAAAAGAAGAGAAAAAGAGUACUGAAAGUGAAGAUGAUGAAUGAGAAGAAGAAGACUAACAUCGAGAAGAAAAAAGAUGAAACAGAGGAUAAUGAAGACCAUAGUUCAGAAACAAAAGACACAACAACAGAGGAAGAAUCAACAGAUAACAAUACAAGAAUAAAGGAUACAUAAAAGGGAAAGAAGGUAACAAUCUAUCACCUUUAAUACCUAGAAAGGUUUUAUAGAAUAUAUUAUUCAAAUCACACUUUAUAAACAAAUCAUAAGUAAAAAGCGGCAAAAAGUAAAAAAAAAAAAAAAAAAAAGGCAAAGAAUCCAACGAGCACAAAGGGAAAGCUCCAUGGCACAUAGAAAAGCUAAGAUAUGGGUGGUCAAGUACACUAUAUUUGUGCAUUCUGCCUGCAUAUGACUCUAUUUUCACUCUCAUCUGUUAGUUGAAUUUAUGGAUUGAGAUAACUUAAUUAUAGUGAAAUCAAUAAAAUAUAUUUAAAGUA
Long non-coding RNA from Cucumis melo (muskmelon), 558 nucleotides. RefSeq lists it as uncharacterized. The record is from RefSeq and is a predicted model, not a curated record. The transcript is spliced from 2 exons. NCBI's taxonomy places the organism in Eukaryota, Viridiplantae, Streptophyta, Magnoliopsida, Cucurbitales, Cucurbitaceae.